AAGACUAUACUUCACAGGAUCAUUUCUGUAGUUGGUCUUCCAAUACUCUGUUUUAAACACAGAGCAUUUGCAACCAUGAUGAGGAGUCAUAGCUUCACAUCCUGAGCGUGAGACAGGCUGUUGGUUCACUUGUUUUGGCAAUGAACCUUCAACCAACGAUGAUCGUUCACCUGGCGGCGUUGACCAAAGGGGGGAUGGAUGUGACGCAUUCUGAGUGGU
Photinus pyralis (common eastern firefly) is the source of this 219-nucleotide small nucleolar RNA. RefSeq annotates it as small nucleolar RNA U3. The transcript has a single exon. The record is from RefSeq and is a predicted model, not a curated record. Lineage: Eukaryota; Metazoa; Arthropoda; Insecta; Coleoptera; Lampyridae.